GACGAACGCUGGCGGCGUGCUUAACACAUGCAAGUCGAACGGUGAACGAGGGAGCUUGCUCCCUCCGGAUCAGUGGCGAACGGGUGAGUAACACGUGAGCAAUCUGCCCCGAACUCUGGGAUAAGCGUUGGAAACGACGUCUAAUACCGGAUACGACGCGGGAGGGCAUCCUCUCCGCGUGGAAAGAACUUCGGUUCGGGAUGAGCUCGCGGCCUAUCAGCUUGUUGGUGAGGUAACGGCUCACCAAGGCGACGACGGGUAGCCGGCCUGAGAGGGUGACCGGCCACACUGGGACUGAGACACGGCCCAGACUCCUACGGGAGGCAGCAGUGGGGAAUAUUGCACAAUGGGCGGAAGCCGGAUGCAGCAACGCCGCGUGAGGGACGACGGCCUUCGGGUUGUAAACCUCUUUUAGCAGGGAAGAAGCGAAAGUGACGGUACCUGCAGAAAAAGCACCGGCGAACUACGU
This 469-nucleotide ribosomal RNA is filed under the name uncultured bacterium. RNAcentral describes it as "partial 16S ribosomal RNA". It matches the Rfam family "Bacterial small subunit ribosomal RNA", at positions 28 to 506 of the family's 1533-position model. The record is from RNAcentral.